AAACCCGCCCGGGGCUGCCCUUUGCCUGUCUUUUCUCCUCCCAUCCCUCUCUGAACCCUUUCACCUCAUCCAUUCCCUUGUCAGGCUCUCCAGAUUCCCGGGCUGUUUGCUGGUGAGAAAUCUUUGCUGCAGCGAGGACCGGAGUACCCCGCGCGCAGCCCAGUGGCAGAAGAGGGCUAGGCUGAGAGGGAAGCCAGGACUGUAGGAGAGGGAGGCAGUCCGUCCUCCUCACGAACCUGCAAGGAUGCGGCAGGGGCCUGGGGGCAUGGGGAGGUACUAACCCCCCGGAGCCCCCGAUUGGGGCUUGCAGACCUGGCCCGUGGGCCGAUUUUCUGCCUAGCGCAGCCGAGAAGCAGAGGUGCCAGGAAAACCAAGAGAGGGGCGCUGGGGGUGCCCAUCCCCAGAGUCGGUCCCUCUGCGAACCGAGGAAGAAAAGAGGAGGGAGUCAGCGAGUGGUGAGAAGGGAAAACCUGUCACCAGACUGGCUCCGGAGCGUCCGGGAGACUGGGGCGCUCCGCGCCAUCGUCUUCAAUGCUUCUCUGAACAGCCUUUAGGAAGAGUGCGAGAGAAAGAGAGAGAGCGCGCGCCAGGGAGAGGA
RNAcentral lists this long non-coding RNA (598 nucleotides) under Pan troglodytes (chimpanzee). RNAcentral describes it as "long non-coding RNA NONPTRT002831". Lineage: Eukaryota; Metazoa; Chordata; Mammalia; Primates; Hominidae. The record is from RNAcentral.